Long non-coding RNA from Peromyscus eremicus (cactus mouse), 764 nucleotides. RefSeq lists it as uncharacterized. The transcript has 3 exons. NCBI's taxonomy places the organism in Eukaryota, Metazoa, Chordata, Mammalia, Rodentia, Cricetidae. The record is from RefSeq and is a predicted model, not a curated record.
CCCUAAACUGUGUCUCAGUGUGUCAGGGCACGAUGUUAGAAAAGCAAAGGUUUCAGCGCCCAGGGGACACCUCACGUCUCUGAGCCCCGGACUGUUGGCAUUAUACACCGAAGGCACUAAGGGCACUACAGAAUCAUCGUUGUAGAUUGGAAACAAAGAAAGCAGGUGUCAAAGGGCAGAAAGGGGCCUUGAAGGUGCUGUCCAGCCUACCGGGUUCUCACGUAGAACUUGGUAACAAUAGCAGAAACGAAGGUGACAAAGGACAGUAUGUUCCAGUUCUGAGGACUGGGAGGAUGAAACAUAACACACGGAAGGGUGGGUAGGACCAAGGGCUAGAUGUACCCGGCUGGACACGUUUGGCAAAUGUCAUUCACCUCUAAGCUUUCUGAGCAUAUCUGAGCAUCCCACAAAUGUCCACUGAGUUCUUCCAAGAAGACUGGUGUCUAAACCACCUGGGACAGAUGAUGAGUGGGACAGUGAAGAGAUGGCUUCUCUUACCCAGUUCUUCCUUCUACUGGCAUUAAGAAUUCGGCAACACAAGAAAAUUGAGGUGUAUUGGAAGUUAGCAUCAUGUUUAAUGGGGAACUGAUGACACCAGUUCUGCAUGCUCCUCAGCAUUGAUGGGAAGAAAAUGGAAGUGGAAACCACCUGCAAAUAGGAAGUGGUUUGUGAGAAGCAUAAUUUGUCUCCAGUCUUCUUCAGAAACUGUAGACCUCAUGAACAUUUGGAUCAUUAGGAAACUCAACUGAGACAAGGAAACAAUU